RNAcentral lists this ribosomal RNA (368 nucleotides) under uncultured eukaryote. Its description in RNAcentral is "partial 18S ribosomal RNA". It matches the Rfam family "Eukaryotic small subunit ribosomal RNA", at positions 592 to 976 of the family's 1831-position model. The record is from RNAcentral.
CAGUAGCGAAUAUUAAAGUUGUUGCAGUUAAAAUGCUCGUAGUUGAAGUUCGGAUGCAGCAGAGCUUGGAAACGCUGUUAUGGUGCUUCCGUUGCUUUUGCUUGUCCACAGUGCGUUGCAAGUACGUAUGUGCUUGUGCGUGCAUUUUACUUUGAGAAACAUAGGGUGUUCCACGCAUGUUACGGCAUGAAUAUUCCAGCAUGGGAUAAUCUGGUACGACUUCCAAUCUGCCAUUUUGGUUCGUAGGUUGGAAGUAAUGAUUAAUAGGGACUGUCGGGGGCAUUGGUAUUUGACUGUCAGAGGUGAAAUUCUUAGAUUCGUUGAGGACCAACCACUGCGAAAGCAUUUGUCAAGGAUGUCUCCAUUAA